Molecule: ribosomal RNA, 554 nt
Filed under: uncultured bacterium
Lineage: Bacteria
Description: bacterial SSU rRNA
Rfam family: Bacterial small subunit ribosomal RNA
Source: RNAcentral
ACGGUACCUACAGAAGAAGCACCGGCCAACUACGUGCCAGCAGCCGCGGUAAUACGUAGGGUGCGAGCGUUGUCCGGAAUUAUUGGGCGUAAAGGGCUCGUAGGCGGUUUGUCACGUCGGGAGUGAAAUCUCAGGGCUUAACCCUGAGCCUGCUUCCGAUACGGGCAGACUAGAGGUAUGCAGGGGAGAACGGAAUUCCUGGUGUAGCGGUGAAAUGCGCAGAUAUCAGGAGGAACACCGGUGGCGAAGGCGGUUCUCUGGGCAUUACCUGACGCUGGGGAGCGAAAGUGUGGGGAGCGAACAGGAUUAGAUACCCUGGUAGUCCACACCGUAAACGGUGGGCGCUAGGUGUGGGACUCAUUCCACGAGUUCCGUGCCGCAGCUAACGCAUUAAGCGCCCCGCCUGGGGAGUACGGCCGCAAGGCUAAAACUCAAAGGAAUUGACGGGGGCCCGCACAAGCGGCGGAGCAUGCGGAUUAAUUCGAUGCAACGCGAAGAACCUUACCUAGGUUUGACAUAUACCGGAAAGCUCUAGAGAUAGAGCCCCUUUUGUC